ACGGCCAUACCACAUUGAAAACACCGGUUCUCGUCCGAUCACUGAAGUUAAGCAGUGUCGGGCCCAGUCAGUACUUGGGAGGGUGCUGUAGGCUAUUACCUUUUUGGGGCUAGAAGACCUUAUCUGAUAGGCCAAUUAGCCCGGAAAACCCAAUACUACUACUAUAUCU
This is a non-coding RNA of Cordylochernes scorpioides, 169 nucleotides long. The record is from the annotation of a GenBank genome assembly. Lineage: Eukaryota; Metazoa; Arthropoda; Arachnida; Pseudoscorpiones; Chernetidae.